GAGUUUGAUCCUGGCUCAGGAUGAACGCUGGCGGCGUGCCUAAUACAUGCAAGUCGAGCGAACAGAUAAGGAGCUUGCUCCUUUGACGUUAGCGGCGGACGGGUGAGUAACACGUGGGUAACCUACCUAUAAGACUGGAAUAACUCCGGGAAACCGGGGCUAAUGCCGGAUAAUAUUUAGAACCGCAUGGUUCUAAAGUGAAAGAUGGUUUUACUAUCACUUAUAGAUGGACCCGCGCCGUAUUAGCUAGUUGGUAAGGUAACGGCUUACCAAGGCGACGAUACGUAGCCGACCUGAGAGGGUGAUCGGCCACACUGGAACUGAGACACGGUCCAGACUCCUACGGGAGGCAGCAGUAGGGAAUCUUCCGCAAUGGGCGAAAGCCUGACGGAGCAACGCCGCGUGAGUGAUGAAGGGUUUCGGCUCGUAAAACUCUGUUAUUAGGGAAGAACAAAUGUGUAAGUAACUGUGCACAUCUUGACGGUACCUAAUCAGAAAGCCACGGCUAACUACGUGCC
Molecule: ribosomal RNA, 518 nt
Filed under: uncultured bacterium
Lineage: Bacteria
Description: bacterial SSU rRNA
Rfam family: Bacterial small subunit ribosomal RNA
Source: RNAcentral